Molecule: ribosomal RNA, 255 nt
Filed under: uncultured bacterium
Lineage: Bacteria
Description: partial 16S ribosomal RNA
Rfam family: Bacterial small subunit ribosomal RNA
Source: RNAcentral
UACGUAGGGCGCAAGCGUUUGUCCGGAAUUAUUGGGCGUAAAGAGCUCGUAGGCGGCUUGUCACGUCGGGUGUGAAAGCCCGGGGCUUAACCCCGGGUCUGCAUUCGAUACGGGCUAGCUAGAGUGUGGUAGGGGGAGAUCGGAAUUCCUGGUGUAGCGGUGAAAUGCGCAGAUAUCAGGAGGAACACCGGUGGCGAAGGCGGAUCUCUGGGCCAUUACUGACGCUGAGGAGCGAAAGCGUGGGGAGCGAACAGG